AUUAAACGCUGGCGGCAGGCCUAACACAUGCAAGUCGAGCGGAUGAGAGGAGCUUGCUUCUUGAUUCAGCGGCGGACGGGUGAGUAAUGCCUAGGAAUCUGCCUGGUAGUGGGGGACAACGUUUCGAAAGGAACGCUAAUACCGCAUACGUCCUACGGGAGAAAGCAGGGGACCUUCGGGCCUUGCGCUAUCAGAUGAGCCUAGGUCGGAUUAGCUAGUUGGUGAGGUAAUGGCGCACCAAGGCGACGAUCCGUAACUGGUCUGAGAGGAUGAUCAGUCACACUGGAACUGAGACACGGUCCAGACUCCUACGGGAGGCAGCAGUGGGGAAUAUUGGACAAUGGGCGAAAGCCUGAUCCAGCCAUGCCGCGUGUGUGAAGAAGGUCUUCGGAUUGUAAAGCACUUUAAGUUGGGAGGAAGGGUUGUACGUUAAUACCGUGCAAUUUUGACGUUACCGACAGAAUAAGCACCGGCUAACUACGUGCCAGCAGCCGCAGUAA
This 500-nucleotide ribosomal RNA is filed under the name uncultured bacterium. RNAcentral describes it as "partial 16S ribosomal RNA". It matches the Rfam family "Bacterial small subunit ribosomal RNA", at positions 30 to 523 of the family's 1533-position model. The record is from RNAcentral.